Molecule: long non-coding RNA, 296 nt
Organism: Daphnia pulicaria
Lineage: Eukaryota; Metazoa; Arthropoda; Branchiopoda; Diplostraca; Daphniidae
Exons: 3
Source: RefSeq, a predicted model, not a curated record
GGAGGUUCCAUUUUUUCGAGCUUCUAUUUCGCGCCAUUUUUCAUUCCCGACCGCGUUGAUUGACGAGUGGAUAUUUGUUUAUCACAAUUUUCCGAUUUUGGCUGCCGAGGACAACAUUUAUGAUGGUGGAGUCUGCUCUUGAAACUGCCCCACCCCUCUCUCUCUCAAAACACAAAAGGACUCACCCUGGCGGGGAAAGAGGACGUUGGUUUUUCCAGGAGAUCCCACAACAAUUUCUGGUAAUGGGCGCAAAAUCCUUCGCCGAAUUCCUCCUCGUCUCUCUGCUUGAGACUCUC